GGGCUGGAGAGUCACACACUGCAGAGGAAGAUAACUGUGACCCUCCACCCACCACACAGGGAACUGAGUCAUUCUUGAGGAACUUCCAGGAAGCACAGAUGGAGCCCUGACCUCAGCUGACCUGGGCAGGGCUCACCACAGAAUGGGAGUAUGAGGUCUGGCCUGCCAACUGUUCACCCAGAAAGCCGGGCUCUCUGCUCUAGAAGUGCCAACGUACAGGCCCACUCUGCCGCUCCUUAGAAUGGGCCUGGCCAGUGGAAGCCACUUAGGGUCCCUGGGGCCAUCUGACUUCAGGGAAGGCAGCACUCAGGGUCCAUAUGGUGUCUCUGAAGAUGACGGGCUAGAGUCAGUAAGGGAAUCACACGCCCUAAGCCCUCCCUUUCUAGCUACUCAGUGGGCUCAGCAGCAGGCAUUUUUGUGGCUGGUGGCUACAGGCACGUGCCCAGCUGGGAGACAAAUGUGACUGCGGCAUCUGCCUUCGGCAGCAGGGAGAAGACAGGUGCUCAGGCCCACGAGGCUGGGUUCCCAUCCUCGUGUCACUUCUGGUCCGUGUGACUUUGGCCUUGUCCUUAGCCUCCCCAAAUCUGUCUCCGCAUGCGAUCAUCAUGAGGGUGAUGAAGUUGAUGACUCCACCUGUGGCCACAUGUUACCGAUACCGAGUGUGAACGUGCUCCAGUGGUGUGAUUGUCAGGGAUUUUUAAGAUGGAAGAUUUCUACAUGAUCCUGGUUUAGUUUCAUGGGAACUCCUCUCGUGACUUAGUGCUUGGAAUAGCAACGAACAAGAAUACUUCUGAUCUGCCCAAAGCUGGAGCUUGCUGAAGGAAGAGCUGAAUGUUUGUAUGAGCGCCCAGUGAGAUGGCAAAACUGGAUGUUUGAUCACAGCAACAGAAAUGAACCAGGACGGCAUCCUAGCGGCAUAGCCCUCAGAAAGUCUUCAAAAUGCCAAGCUCCAGCUGCACCCCAGGCCCGCUGAGCUCACAGCUCACAGAUGACCAGGAAUCUCGAUUUAUUGCUUUAUUUUAAAAGAA
Molecule: non-coding RNA, 1028 nt
Organism: Myodes glareolus (Bank vole)
Lineage: Eukaryota; Metazoa; Chordata; Mammalia; Rodentia; Cricetidae
Source: RefSeq, a predicted model, not a curated record